UACCAGCUCUCCGAGUGGUGUGGAUGUUUAUUGGGCCUAAAGCAUCCGUAGCUGGCUGGGCAAGUCCCCUGUUAAAUCCACCGAUUUAAUCGUUGGUGUGCGGGGGAUACUGUUCGGCUAGGGGACGGGAGAGGCCGACGGUAUUUUCGGGGUAGGGGUGAAAUCCUAUAAUCCCGGGAAGACCACCAGUGGCGAAGGCUGUCGGCUAGAACGCGCCCGACGGUGAGGGAUGAAAGCUGGGGGAGCGAACCGGAUUAGAUACCCGGGUAGUCCCAGCUGUAAACGAUGCGGGCUAGGUGUUUGGGCGGCCACGUGCCGCUCUAGUGCCGCAGAGAAGUCGUUAAGCCUGCCGCCUGGGGAGUACGGCCGCAAGGCUGAAACUUAAAGGAAUUGGCGGGGGAGCACCACAAGGGGUGAAGCUUGCGGUUU
Molecule: ribosomal RNA, 429 nt
Filed under: uncultured archaeon
Lineage: Archaea
Description: bacterial SSU rRNA
Rfam family: Archaeal small subunit ribosomal RNA
Source: RNAcentral